ACGGGUGAGUAACACGUAGGCAACCUGCCCUCAAGCUUGGGACAACUACCGGAAACGGUAGCUAAUACCGAAUACUUGUUUUCUUCGCCUGAAGGAAACUGGAAAGACGGAGCAAUCUGUCACUUGGGGAUGGGCCUGCGGCGCAUUAGCUAGUUGGUGAGGUAACGGCUCACCAAGGCGACGAUGCGUAGCCGACCUGAGAGGGUGAUCGGCCACACUGGGACUGAGACACGGCCCAGACUCCUACGGGAGGCAGCAGUAGGGAAUCUUCCGCAAUGGGCGAAAGCCUGACGGAGCAAUGCCGCGUGAGUGAUGAAGGUUUUCGGAUCGUAAAGCUCUGUUGCCAGGGAAGAACGCUUGGGAGAGUAACUGCUCUCAAGGUGACGGUACCUGAGAAGAAAGCCCCGGCUAACUACGUGCCAGCAGCCGCGGUAAUACGUAGGGGGCAAGCGUUGUCCGGAAUUAUUGGGCGUAAAGCGCGCGCAGGCGGUCAUGUAAGUCUGGUGUUUAAUCCCGGGGCUCAACCCCGGAUCGCACUGGAAACUGCGUGACUUGAGUGCAGAAGAGGAGAGUGGAAUUCC
This 581-nucleotide ribosomal RNA is filed under the name uncultured bacterium. RNAcentral's name for it is "bacterial SSU rRNA". It matches the Rfam family "Bacterial small subunit ribosomal RNA", at positions 102 to 670 of the family's 1533-position model. The record is from RNAcentral.